This 207-nucleotide microRNA precursor is filed under the name Medicago truncatula (barrel medic). Its description in RNAcentral is "MIR2630 microRNA precursor family". It matches the Rfam family "MIR2630 microRNA precursor family". Lineage: Eukaryota; Viridiplantae; Streptophyta; Magnoliopsida; Fabales; Fabaceae. The record is from Rfam by way of RNAcentral.
CUCUACAAAUAUAGAAUAUUUGAUUUUGGUCUUUGGUAUUUUGUUUUAAUCCUUGUAAAAUCAUUUCAUAUUGAAAUUGGUCUCAUUUUAAGGGACUAAAAUCAAAUAUUUUACAUAUUACAAGGACCAAAUUCAAUAUGAAUCAAUUUUAUAAGGACAAAAACAAAAUAUCAAGGACCAAAACCAAUUUUUUUAUAUUUGCUGAAA